AGCGUUGUUCGGAAUCACUGGGCUUAAAGAGCACGUAGGCGGUCUGUCAAGCGUCUUGUGAAAGCCCUCGGCUCAACCGGGGAAUUGCUUGGCGAACUGGCAGACUUGAGGCAGGUAGGGGCAGUUGGAACUCUUGGUGGACCGGUGGAAUGCGUAGAUAUCAAGAGGAACGCCAGAGGCGAAGGCGAACUGCUGGGCCUGUCCUGACGCUGAGGUGCGAAAGCCAGGGUAGCGAACGGGAUUAGAUACCCCGGUAGUCCUGGCCCUAAACGAUGUCCACUAGAUCGAGGAUUCUCUGAAGGAUUCUUGGUCGAAAUGAAAACGUUAAGUGGACCGCCUGGGGAGUACGGUCGCAAGGCUAAAACUCAAAGGAAUUGACGGGGGCUCACACAAGCGGUGGAGCAUGUUGCUUAAUUCGAUGCAACGCGAAGAACCUUAUCCUGGGCUUGACAUGCUUGGAUGCCCAUCUGGAAACAGAGUAGGCUGCCCUUCGGGGUGAAACUUGCACAGGUGCUGCAUGGCUGUCGUCAGCUCGUGUCGUGAGAUGUCGGGUUAAGUCCCAUAACGAGCGAAACCCUUGUCACUAGUUGCCAGCGCGUAAUGGCGGGGACUCUAGUGAGACUGCCGGUGUUAAACCGGAGGAAGGUGGGGAUGACGUCAAGUCCUCAUGGCCUUUAUGCCCAGGGCUGCAAACGUGCUACAAUGGCCGGUACAAACCGAAGCGAAACGGCGACGUGGAGCAAAUCGGAAAAAGCCGGCCUCAGUUCGGAUUGGAGUCUGCAACUCGACUCCAUGAAGUCGGAAUCGCUAGUAAUCGCGUAUCAGAACGACGCGGUGAAUGAGUUCCUGAGCAUUGUACACACCGCCCGUCAAGUCAUGGAAGCCGAGAGCACCCGAAGUCGGGGUAUUCAGCCCUGCACUAAGGUGAGCCCGGUGACUGGGACUAAGUCGU
This 952-nucleotide ribosomal RNA is filed under the name uncultured organism. RNAcentral describes it as "bacterial SSU rRNA". It matches the Rfam family "Bacterial small subunit ribosomal RNA", at positions 537 to 1489 of the family's 1533-position model. The record is from RNAcentral.